Molecule: ribosomal RNA, 259 nt
Filed under: Alexandrium tamarense
Lineage: Eukaryota; Dinophyceae; Gonyaulacales; Pyrocystaceae
Description: partial Bacterial large subunit ribosomal RNA
Rfam family: Bacterial large subunit ribosomal RNA
Source: RNAcentral
ACCAGUACCGUGAGGGAAAGGCGAAAAGAACCCCGGCGAGGGGAGUGAAAUAGAACCUGAAACCAGAUGCGUACAAGCAGUCGGAGCCCUUCGGGGUGACGGCGUACCUUUUGUAUAAUGGGUCAGCGACUUACUUCUCAGUAGCAAGGUUAACCAUUAGGGGAGCCGUAGGGAAACCGAGUCUUAAAUGGGCGUUUAGUUGCUGGGAGUAGACCCGAAACCGGGUGAUCUAUCCAUGGCCAGGGUGAAGGUUAGGUAA